AUUAUAUAUUUAUAGAUUAUCGUUGAUCAUCUCAACGAGAUUGAUUUUCUCGCUUGAGCUGGUACAGCGAAAGUGAGAAAAGCAAUCGAGUUGAGAUGACCAAUGAUAAUCUGUUUAUCGCUAUUUUACCUAGGACGACGUUGUCAAUUUCAUGUCAAUUUCGUUAGCAACGCCACGUGGCCUCCUUAGUUUCUAGCGAUAAUUUUUCCAUCUCAAGCGAGAAGCAUGAUAUGAAAAUUAUCACAAAAAAAGAUCAAAAGAAAAAUGCACAAAAUAGCGAUAAAGUAUCCUAUCAUG
RNAcentral lists this long non-coding RNA (297 nucleotides) under Mytilus galloprovincialis (Mediterranean mussel). Lineage: Eukaryota; Metazoa; Mollusca; Bivalvia; Mytilida; Mytilidae. The record is from RNAcentral.